Long non-coding RNA from Otolemur garnettii (small-eared galago), 589 nucleotides. RefSeq lists it as uncharacterized. Lineage: Eukaryota; Metazoa; Chordata; Mammalia; Primates; Galagidae. The transcript has 3 exons. The record is from RefSeq and is a predicted model, not a curated record.
CCUGCCUCAGCCUCCCAAGUAGCUGGGACCACAGGAAUCCUGCUGUCACCGGUGCCUGCUUUCUGCUGAGCCCACCUUACUUUUACCUGCUCACCUUCCCACCAGGCAUGUAUCUUAUGUUUUGUUGGUUUCCAGUACCUACGUGUUGGUCAAGGACGUUCUGACAACUUCCACGGAUCAAGGAGGAUUUCUCCAAAACGGAUGUGAAUGAGAUUGUUUGCUACAAUGUACCCUGCAGGGGCUGGGAGUUAGCGGUCACUGUUUGCUAUCAUUGAGAGGAUGGAGUUAUAAAAUGACUUGGAGGGACAUUUAGGAACACUGUGCAACAUUUAGCAACAAAGAACUACAUGUCCACAUAGUGACCUGAACAGAUCUUGCGAGCAUUUAGUUUUUAAAACAGUGAUGAUUUUAGCACCAUACCACUUAUUCGAAUUGAAAAAUGUAAUAAUAAAGACAAUGGGAUGCUUGGCGAUGACAUAACUCCUUAUUUAUCUUUUAGUUAUCUCAUUUAUUCUCACAUUAGAAUUAGUGUCUAAUUGAAGGAGAGAAAUGAAAGAAGGGAAUGCAGAAACGCAGAAUAAAGAAACAA